UGAAGCCUAGGGGGGCAGCAGUGGGGAAUUUUGCGCAAUGGGGGAAACCCUGACGCAGCAACGCCGCGUGCGGGAUGACGGCCUUCGGGUUGUAAACCGCUUUCAGUAGGGACGAAUUUUGACGGUACCUACAGAAGAAGCCCCGGCUAACUACGUGCCAGCAGCCGCGGUAGUACGUAGGGGGCGAGCGUUAUCCGGAUUCAUUGGGCGUAAAGCGCGCGUAGGCGGUCAUGUAAGCGGGACCUCUAAUCUUGGGGCUCAACCUCAAGCCGGGUUCCGAACUACAUGACUCGAGUGUGGUGGGG
This 305-nucleotide ribosomal RNA is filed under the name uncultured bacterium. Its description in RNAcentral is "bacterial SSU rRNA". It matches the Rfam family "Bacterial small subunit ribosomal RNA", at positions 333 to 656 of the family's 1533-position model. The record is from RNAcentral.